UUGCUAUGAGCUGUUUUAGCGGCGGACGGGUGAGUAACACGUGAGCAAUCUGCCUUUCAGAGGGGGAUACCGAUUGGAAACGAUCGUUAAUACCGCAUAACAUAAUUGAACCGCAUGAUUUGAUUAUCAAAGAUUUAUCGCUGAAAGAUGAGCUCGCGUCUGAUUAGCUAGUUGGUAAGGUAACGGCUUACCAAGGCGACGAUCAGUAGCCGGACUGAGAGGUUGAUCGGCCACAUUGGGACUGAGACACGGCCCAGACUCC
RNAcentral lists this ribosomal RNA (262 nucleotides) under uncultured Eubacteriales bacterium. RNAcentral describes it as "uncultured Clostridiales bacterium partial 16S ribosomal RNA". It matches the Rfam family "Bacterial small subunit ribosomal RNA", at positions 77 to 339 of the family's 1533-position model. The record is from RNAcentral. Lineage: Bacteria; Bacillati; Bacillota; Clostridia; Eubacteriales.